Molecule: ribosomal RNA, 483 nt
Filed under: uncultured bacterium
Lineage: Bacteria
Description: partial 16S ribosomal RNA
Rfam family: Bacterial small subunit ribosomal RNA
Source: RNAcentral
GACGAACGCUGGCGGCGUGCUUAACACAUGCAAGUCGAACGCUGAAGCUCAGCUUUUGUUGGGUGGAUGAGUGGCGAACGGGUGAGUAACACGUGAGUAACCUGCCUCCUUCUUUGGGAUAACGCCCGGAAACGGGUGCUAAUACUGGAUAUUCACUGGUCUUCGCAUGGGGGUUGGUGGAAAGGGUUUUUCUGGUGGGGGAUGGGCUCGCGGCCUAUCAGCUUGUUGGUGGGGUGAUGGCCUACCAAGGCUUUGACGGGUAGCCGGCCUGAGAGGGUGACCGGUCACAUUGGGACGGAGAUACGGCCCAGACUCCUACGGGAGGCAGCAGUGGGGAAUAUUGCACAAUGGGCGCAAGCCUGAUGCAGCGCCGCCGCGUGAGGGAUGGAGGCCUUCGGGUUGUGAACCUCUUUCGCUCAUGGUCAAGCCGCAACAAUGGUUGUGGUGAGGGUAGUGGGUAAAGAAGCGCCGGCUAACUACGUG